UACGUAGGGUGCGAGCGUUGUCCGGAAUUAUUGGGCGUAAAGGGCUCGUAGGCGGUUUGUCGCGUCGGGAGUGAAAUCCACUGGCUUAACUGGUGGCUUGCUUUCGAUACGGGCAGACUGGAGGUAUGCAGGGGAGAACGGAAUUCCUGGUGUAGCGGUGAAAUGCGCAGAUAUCAGGAGGAACACCGGUGGCGAAGGCGACUACCUGGCCUGUUCUUGACGCUGAGGCGCGAAAGCUAGGGGAGCAAACGGG
Molecule: ribosomal RNA, 253 nt
Filed under: uncultured bacterium
Lineage: Bacteria
Description: partial 16S ribosomal RNA
Rfam family: Bacterial small subunit ribosomal RNA
Source: RNAcentral